CAAGUCGAACGCGGUUUCCCCGCAAGGGGGAACUGAGUGGCGAACGGGUGAGUAACACGUGGGUGACCUACCUUCGAGUGGGGGAUAACGUCCCGAAAGGGACGCUAAUACCGCAUAACAUCCUGUCCUUGAAUGGAUGGAGAUCAAAGCCGGGGAUCGCAAGACCCGGCGCUUGAUGAGGGGCCCGCGUCUGAUUAGCUAAUUGGUGAGGUAAUGGCUCACCAAGGCAACGAUCAGUAGCCGGCCUGAGAGGGCGGACGGCCACACUGGGACUGAGACACGGCCCAGACUCCUACGGGAGGCAGCAGUGGGGAAUUGUUCACAAUGGGCGCAAGCCUGAUGACGCAACGCCGCGUGGAGGAUGAAGGUCUUCGGAUUGUAAACUCCUGUUGCCAGGGACGAAUGGCCACGACCUAAUACGUCGUGGUGUGACGGUACCUGGUGAGGAAGCCCCGGCUAACUCUGUGCCAGCAGCCGCGGUAAUACAGAGGGGGCAAGCGUUGUUCGGAAUUACUGGGCGUAAAGGGCGCGUAGGCGGCCUGUUAAGUCGAACGUGAAAUCCCCGGGCUCAACCCGGGAACUGCGUCCGAUACUGGCAGGCUUGAAUCCGGGAGAGGGAUGCGGAAUUCCAGGUGUAGCGGUGAAAUGCGUAGAUAUCUGGAGGAACACCGGUGGCGAAGGCGGCAUCCUGGACCGGCAUUGACGCUGAGGCGCGAAAGCCAGGGGAGCAAACGGGAUUAGAUACCCCGGUAGUCCUGGCCCUAAACGAUGAAUGCUUGGUGUGGCGGGUAUCGAUCCCUGCCGUGCCGAA
Molecule: ribosomal RNA, 811 nt
Filed under: uncultured Acidobacteriota bacterium
Lineage: Bacteria; Pseudomonadati; Acidobacteriota
Description: bacterial SSU rRNA
Rfam family: Bacterial small subunit ribosomal RNA
Source: RNAcentral